Molecule: long non-coding RNA, 638 nt
Organism: Manis javanica (Malayan pangolin)
Lineage: Eukaryota; Metazoa; Chordata; Mammalia; Pholidota; Manidae
Source: RefSeq, a predicted model, not a curated record
GGCAGCUUGACUCUGACAAGGCCCUGCUGCCCAAUCUUUCGCUUGGCAGUGGGUGUGCAGGGGGCUGAAAUCUGACCCACCACGGGCCCAAGCACCUCAUGGUUAAGCCACAGCCACUAAGUGAGAAAACUGAUUUGAAUUCUGCCUUCACUGAUGGUACCUGCACGAUCGCCUGUUCUUCUUCAUCUACAGAUUCAGUGCACGGUGAUAAUGGGAAGGAUUUGAAAGUUCAUUUGAUGGAAGAAUCCUGCUUGCAUUGAAGAUGACUCUGCUGUCUGUAAGACGCUGUGACACUUCCUGGGAAUGGCCACUAACCAUCCUCCCAGCAGCAGUAACAGAGUUUGCUCCUGAAAUAUAAAGAAACAGCGUAGCGUGGGCCCCUCGCCAGAGCAAUGGAAGAAUCGUGAGGAUCUACGAUUUCAUUUUUCGGCAACGCCUCAUGCAUUACAACACGGCUACUUCAGCGCCAUCCCCGUCGGCCCUGCUUCUCCCGUACUCAGAGGUGCGCGGUCGGCGUCAGGCAGCAGGGGGAGCAAGUGUGCAAGCGGAGGGAAGAUGCUUCCGCGCACGUCUCAGCUCCUGUGUCCUUUAACAGGCCUGGGUGGGAAAAGUAUGUUUUUGUUUUGUUUUGUUUUGUU